ACUUUGGAUACGCCGUCUACCGUACCAACCAAAACGCCACCGCAAUCUCGAUCAACUUUUAUUAUUCUGUCGACGGUUCUUAAAAGUAUUACUGUUACUUUCUUUUUUGUUCUACUAGAGUUUUUACUAGUGUUAUAAUUCUCGUUUUUUUUUUACUUCUUUUAUUAAACGGCUCGACGCACAGUUAAAAUCAACCGGUGUUACAUUUUCUAACCCUCAUCAACUUCUACCAUAACAACUGGCUCCCCGGCUCAAGAUCUGAACCGGAUUAACUUUUUAAUAAGGUGAUCCCUAUCAUAGAACCCUUUAGCGAUCAAACAGGCAUGAGGCAAAAUGGCAAUCUAGUGCCGUGUAUAAAUAGCCGUACUACGGUCUGUGUUAACGCAACGCUUGGUGAUACUCGCGCGGGUUGGUUAACACUCAUUAAUUUUGUCUAUUCAUACAGAAGAAAGAAGUAGAAUACUUGAUAAUAAUGCAACAAUGGCGUCAAAAUAAAAUAAAACAAUUCGAUUAAUAACUUCUCAUCUACAAUGAUGAUAAUAACCGAUUGCUGUAAGUGGAAGAAGAAUGAAGUUGUCAGUAUGGCAAUUAAACCGUGCAAAACAUACUGUCGCAAACAGUAGUUCAUAGUGUGAUCAUUGGGGUCAUUUAUAACACCUGGUGUACUAUAGAGUAUAUAACUUUAUCACAGCAUCAAACUCUGUUGUAAUAGACUCCUAUAUUUCUCUACUACUUAAGGGAACUUUAUGGUCGAAAACAUAACAAAAAAACAAUCUUGUAACAAACAUGGAUCUUAUAGUAAAUCUUUCGAAAGUAUAGCGUGAACUAACUACUCUUUGUAGAAGAAUCGAUUAAAUUAAAAAUCACAAUGUGAACAACAUCCUUUAGUGAACCGUUCAUCAACCAAGAGUCGCUAGAUUGGUUAAUUAAUUUGGUUUCGUGAAUUAUUCUUGUGUUUCCUUUUUUCUGUACUA
Long non-coding RNA from Daktulosphaira vitifoliae (grape phylloxera), 974 nucleotides. RefSeq lists it as uncharacterized. NCBI's taxonomy places the organism in Eukaryota, Metazoa, Arthropoda, Insecta, Hemiptera, Phylloxeridae. The transcript has 2 exons. The record is from RefSeq and is a predicted model, not a curated record.